UGGGGAAUUUUGGACAAUGGGGCAACCCUGAUCCAGCGAUGCCGCGUGUGUGAAGAAGGCCUGAGGGUUGUAAAGCACUUUAGGAGGGGAAGGAUAGGUUGGCUCGAAUAGGGCUGACUGAUGACAUUACCCUUGGAAUAAGCACCGGCAAACUCUGUGCCAGCAGCCGCGGUAAGACAGAGGAUGCAAGCGUUAUCCGGAAUGAUUGGGCGUAAAGCGUCUGUAGGUGGCUUUUCAAGUCCGCCGUCAAAUCCCAGGGCUCAACCCUGGACAGGCGGUGGAAACUACCAAGCUGGAGUACGGCAGGGGCAGAGGGAAUUUCCGGUGGAGCGGUGAAAUGCGUAGAGAUCGGAAAGAACACCAACGGCGAAAGCACUCUGCUGGGCCGACACUGACACUGAGAGACGAAAGCUAGGGGAGCAAAUGGGAUUAGAUACCCAGGUAGUCCCUGAGCGGGCUGGCAAGGC
Molecule: ribosomal RNA, 467 nt
Filed under: uncultured bacterium
Lineage: Bacteria
Description: bacterial SSU rRNA
Rfam family: Bacterial small subunit ribosomal RNA
Source: RNAcentral